Molecule: ribosomal RNA, 249 nt
Filed under: uncultured bacterium
Lineage: Bacteria
Description: partial 16S ribosomal RNA
Rfam family: Bacterial small subunit ribosomal RNA
Source: RNAcentral
CGCGUAGGUAACCUGCCUUGUANCGGGGGAUAACUAUUGGAAACGAUAGCUAAUACCGCAUAACAAUGGAUGACACAUGUCAUUUAUUUUGAAAAGGGGGCAAUUGCUCCACUACAAGAUGGACCUGCGUUGUAUUAGCUAGUAGGUGAGGUAACGGCUCACCUAGGCGACGAUACAUAGCCGACCUGAGAGGGUGAUCGGCCACACUGGGACUGAGACACGGCCCAGACUCCUACGGGAGGCAGCAUG